UAGAACAGAAUGAAGCCCUUCCACCGCUUCCUCAGAUGAAGUAUGUCACAGGAAUGUGUCUCCUCCAUGAAUGUAAAGAUUACUAUAAUCUUUUUAGCUCCUUUUUUUGGGGUAUUCCUGCUCAAAUUCACUUCUUAGCUCCAAUCUGCUCCACAACUGAGCCAAAGGGGACAGAUUCUCACCCCAUAGUCACUACUGCUGCUGGCCCGUUUUCCUGAGACCCUCCCGCAAGCAGGCUGCCACCUUUGGUUAGUUCUGGCUGCACUCCUUUCAACAAUACUCGGUAGAACAGCAGAAGAUACUUGGUAACGGCCAGUGCUGCCAAGAUCCUCGCCACCAGUUUGGACUCUGCUCUGGCUCUGCUGCUACUACGUUCCAGUUCCGCAGGUUCCAGUUAAAGAAGUCAGUUCUGGACCCACUACUCAGGAGGCCAGAACAGAAAGGAGAUAACGGGAAAGGUCAAGAAGAGGGAAGGUCCAGGAGAACACAUUGGAAGGCAUGUGGAGAGUCUUUCCAGCAUGGCAUUGAAAACACAAAGACUGUUGCGAAGAAACAGUACAAGAUAAAGUACCCUGCAAGAGGAUAUGAAGGAUGGGAUUUCUGUGACACAAGCCUCAACUUCUUACUUGAUCACAUUUAUACCCGACACAGUCAAGCUACUGAUAAAGAUCCUGUUGUUACUUUGAGCAGGAUGAUGCUUGCAGUAAUCAAAUUUAUCUAAGAGCUAAGGCUCUGUCUGGGUUUAGAUAAGGAGUUUUGAUUCUUUGCCACUUGAUAGCAACAUGACCUUCAGUAACAUAAUGGUAAGUUUCAGUUUGUUUUUUCAGUAGGAUGGAUAAGUUCCUGAUUCCUAGGAUAGUUAUAAG
Molecule: non-coding RNA, 866 nt
Organism: Peromyscus maniculatus bairdii (prairie deer mouse)
Lineage: Eukaryota; Metazoa; Chordata; Mammalia; Rodentia; Cricetidae
Source: RefSeq, a predicted model, not a curated record